RNAcentral lists this long non-coding RNA (1140 nucleotides) under Callithrix jacchus (white-tufted-ear marmoset). Its description in RNAcentral is "lncRNA (ENSCJAG00000083303.1)". The record is from RNAcentral. Lineage: Eukaryota; Metazoa; Chordata; Mammalia; Primates; Cebidae.
CACUUCUGCUUGUACUCAGUUAGGUAGAAUUCAGUCACAUGGGCAAGCCUAAACGCAAGGGACAUUGAGAUAUGUAAUCUAGCCAUGUUUCAGGAAAAAGAGAAGAUGAAUUCUUUGGUGAACAGCCAGUGGUUUCUUUUACUAUUUUACCUGCUUUAUGUGAUGUGUGGUGAGCAUUUAGUUAAUACUUAAUAGGAAUUAAAUAUUUAGCAUCAUGUCUAGUAGUUGUUAGUAAUGAAUAAAGUUUUUUGAAUUUGCAUAGGAAAAAAGGCAACAUUAAGAAAUGUCCUCUCGAUGCUGGACUCAAGAUGGCGCUGUGAGAACAACCCAGGAUUGAAGCUCUCGCUGGACGCACGGAGAGGCUGUGGAAAACGCCUGUUAGUUGCUGAACGAUCAAAUAGAUGUAAGACGAAUAACUGGCUCCUGGCAAAAAUCGGAUUAAAUUGCCUCAAAAGUAACCAAGCUAAAAUGACAACAGGUCACCCUAAAAAAGAAACAAGAUAAUGGCUUUCAAAGGAAUGACAAAACACCUUUGGAGAAAAUUAGAGUUAAUUAGAUAUCUGAAGAUGGAAAACAAGCCAUCACCCUUCCAAAUGUUAGCUGUUGAUGACUGUUUCAUUUAGUGGGAGAUGCCACUUGGUAUAGAGAAAAAUGCACUGGGCUGUGCAUAAGUACGGUCUCAGCUGUACCAUGGACUGUUGGUGAGGUGUUGAGUACAUGUCCCAAGCUCACUGAACCUCAGUUUACUCAUCCAUAAAAUGAGGGCUUUUACCCACACAGUCUCAGAGCACAUUCAGUGAGUGGUAGUGAGGAUGAUGGUGGUGGUGUUGAGGGUGACCACAGUGAUCAUGAUGAUAAUGUAAUGGUGACAUAAUGAGCAUCGCAUUAGUAAGGGUUUUCUAGAGAAGCAGAGCCAACCAAUAGAAUGUUCUAAGACAUGCAGUUGGCAAAUUGGAGACCCAAGAAGAGCCAAUUUUCAGUUUGGAUCUGAAGACAGGAAAAGACUGAUACUCAGGGAAAGGUGAGUCUUUGCGUUCUAUGCAGUAUUUCGACCUAUUGGAUGAGGCCUACCAUAUUUAGGAAUGCAAUCUGCUUUACUCAGUCUUUCAAUUCAGAUAUUAAUUUUAUCUAGAAGCACCC